AUACGGAGGGUGCAAGCGUUAUUCGGAAUCAUUGGGCGUAAAGGGCGCGUAGGCGGCUUUGUAAGUCAGAUGUGAAAGCCCGGGGCUUAACCCCGGAAGUGCAUUUGAAACUACAAGGCUUGAGUAUGGGAGAGGAGAGCGGAAUUCCUGGUGUAGAGGUGAAAUUCGUAGAUAUCAGGAGGAACACCGGUGGCGAAGGCGGCUCUCUGGACCAAUACUGACGCUGAGGCGCGAAGGCGUGGGGAUCAAACAGGAUUAGAUACCCUGGUAGUCCACGCAGUAAACGGUGAACACUAGGUGUAGCGGGUAUUUACCCCUGCUGCGCCGCAGCUAACGCAUUAAGUGUUCCGCCUGGGAAGUACGGUCUCAAGAUUAAA
Molecule: ribosomal RNA, 377 nt
Filed under: uncultured bacterium
Lineage: Bacteria
Description: bacterial SSU rRNA
Rfam family: Bacterial small subunit ribosomal RNA
Source: RNAcentral